This 253-nucleotide ribosomal RNA is filed under the name uncultured bacterium. RNAcentral's name for it is "partial 16S ribosomal RNA". It matches the Rfam family "Bacterial small subunit ribosomal RNA", at positions 524 to 776 of the family's 1533-position model. The record is from RNAcentral.
CACAUAGGGUGCGAGCGUUGUCCGGAAUUAUUGGGCGUAAAGAGCGUGUAGGCGGCCCGGUAAGUCCGCUGUGAAAGUCCAGGGCUCAACCCUGGGAUGCCGGUGGAUACUGUCGGGCUCGAGUCCGGAAGAGGAGUGUGGAAUUCCUGGUGUAGCGGUGAAAUGCGCAGAUAUCAGGAGGAACACCAAUGGCGAAGGCAGCACUCUGGGACGUGACUGACGCUGAGACGCGAAAGCGUGGGGAGCAAACAGG